GGUGAGGUGGCCGAGAGGCUGAAGGCGCUCCCCCCUGCUAAGGGAGUAUGCGGUCAAAAAGCUGCAUCCGGGGUUCGAAUCCCCGCCUCACCGCCA
This 96-nucleotide transfer RNA is filed under the name Escherichia coli. RNAcentral describes it as "tRNA-Ser". It matches the Rfam family "tRNA". From Rfam's summary of the family: Transfer RNA (tRNA) molecules are approximately 80 nucleotides in length. Lineage: Bacteria; Pseudomonadati; Pseudomonadota; Gammaproteobacteria; Enterobacterales; Enterobacteriaceae. The record is from RNAcentral.